Molecule: long non-coding RNA, 379 nt
Organism: Piliocolobus tephrosceles (Ugandan red Colobus)
Lineage: Eukaryota; Metazoa; Chordata; Mammalia; Primates; Cercopithecidae
Exons: 3
Source: RefSeq, a predicted model, not a curated record
CUCCUGCCUCAUCCUCCCAAGUUGCUGGGACUACAGGCAAACACCACCAUGCCCAGGAGAUCUUUCAAACAGGAGUGGGACAAACCUUCUCAACCAAAUCACGAAGAAAACAGAACUCAAACAAAAUCGAGGUGGAGAAGAGGCCACUUGCAGAUGCAGCAGGGUUCAAAAGGCUCCACUGUGGGUACCUCAUGCCGCUGUUCCAAGAACCAGUAAUUCUUCCUGAGUGACUCCCCUUGGCUGAUUUCAACAUGGAUUUCAAUAUGGAAGCGGAGCUUAAUGAAAUCAGUGUGAUGCCAUCUGUGGAGUUAGCACCCCCAGGACACAGAGCAUGGAAGGAAGGGCAGACAACAGAUCUGAGCUUGAAGAACACAGAAUA